Molecule: ribosomal RNA, 476 nt
Filed under: uncultured bacterium
Lineage: Bacteria
Description: bacterial SSU rRNA
Rfam family: Bacterial small subunit ribosomal RNA
Source: RNAcentral
UGGCUAACUCCUACGGGAGGCAGCAGUGGGGAAUAUUGCACAAUGGGCGCAAGCCUGAUGCAGCGACGCCGCGUGAGGGAUGGAGGCCUUCGGGUUGUAAACCUCUUUCGCCAGUGAAGCAGGCUUGCUCCUUGUGGGUGGGUUGACGGUAGCUGGAUAAGAAGCGCCGGCUAACUACGUGCCAGCAGCCGCGGUAAUACGUAGGGCGCGAGCGUUGUCCGGAAUUAUUGGGCGUAAAGAGCUCGUAGGCGGCUGGUCGCGUCUGUCGUGAAAUCCUCUGGCUUAACUGGGGGCUUGCGGUGGGUACGGGCCGGCUUGAGUGCGGUAGGGGAGACUGGAACUCCUGGUGUAGCGGUGGAAUGCGCAGAUAUCAGGAAGAACACCGGUGGCGAAGGCGGGUCUCUGGGCCGUUACUGACGCUGAGGAGCGAAAGCGUGGGGAGCGAACAGGAUUAGAUACCCGAGUAGUCCAGCUGG